UUUUUUUUUUUUUCAGCUCCAUACCCCUGAACUUCUCAAAUAUUUCCAAUGCUCAUCAUUGGGUCUUCAGCAUGGUGAAAAGGGUUGUAGGUGAUUCUUCUGUGUUGUACAGUUGAAGAGCAGCUUAACCCACACUUCCUUUUUGGUCUCACUUCUCCCCUUCGUUCUGGUCAAAUCCUGACUGUUUCAAAAGGAAAACUGAGUGAGUACAGGAAAAAGGACAUAUAUAUCUAUAUAUGUCAUCUACUGCAGUCAAUUUUGUGGCAGGUGUUACUUCAAUGACUGCAAGUCAAUGACCAUGAGGCCCACUUAUUAAAAAUAUGAAACAAAGCAAGCUUUGGUGACUCACACUUGUGAUCCCAGCAUUUGGGAAGCCGAGGCAGGAAGACUGCUUGAGGAUAGGAGUUUAAGAUAAGCCUGGGCUACAUAGUGAGGCCCCAUCUCUACAAAAAAAAAAUUUUUUUUUGGCCAGGCGAGGUGGCUCACGUUUGUAAUCCUAACACUUUGGGAUGCCGAGGCAGAUGGAUCACUUGAUCUCAGGAGAUCGAGGCCAGCCUGAGCAACAUGGCAAACCCUGUCUCUAUUACAAAUACAAAAAUUAUCCAGGCAUGGUGGCACAUGCCUGUGGUCUCAGCUACUCAGGAGACUGAGGUCGGAGAAUCUCUUGAGCCUGGGAGGCAGGGGUUGCAGUGAGCCAAGAUCACGCCAUUGCACUCCAGUCUGGGUGACAGAGUGAGACCCCAUCUCAAAAAAUAAAAUAAAAUAACCAGGUGUGGUGGUGUGCAGCUGUAGUCUCAGCUACUUGGGAGGCUGAAGUGCGAGGGUCUCUUGAGCCCUCCUCCUCACUUGAGCCCAGGGUACUGGGAUUAUAGAUGUGAGCCACUGCUCUUGGCCACAAGUGCCUUUUGAAGGGCAUAUCUUUAAUGUAUAUUAUUCAAGGAACUUAAAUAAUUUAAUUCCCUCUAAAGGCUAAUGCUAAUAGUAUUCCCAUUUUACAGAUGAGAAAAACAGGCUCAGAGAGGUUAAGUCGUUUCCUCAAGGUAACUCAGCAAGUAAGUAGCAGAGUGAGGAUUCAAACCUGCCGGCACUAAAACACACAUUUCACGAUAUGUUAUUGACUGUAAUGUCAAAAGAGGAAGAAAACAUGUUGUUUGCCCUUCUUGAGGUUUCAGUCUCUGUAGGAAGAAAAGGUACAACUUUAAAGAUAGAAAAUUAUGCUAUUGCCUAAGGGAGUUUUAAGCCCAUUGCGCAUUGCUAAAAGAACAAAGGAGAGGUUAGAAUAUACUUCCUGCUCAAGAAAGACUCCUCUGGAAUGCUUCCUGGGGGAGGGUAUUCAAAGCAGGUAAAUGCUGGCAGAUAUACGUGGUUGACAGAGUAGGAGAGGCAGAGUCAGGAUGUAGAAAUGCACAGGGGCUUGCUUGGGAAAUGGAAUGUUGUCUACCUUGAUUGGACUAUAAAGAUACUGGGGAUUAAUGUAAGGUAACCCUAGAACAUAACAGGUUGUGUCCAUCGCCCUUCUGAAGAAGAUCUUGGAUGUCAGGGGUUUACCCUGUUUACCAAGUGGCAAAAGACCUUCCAUGAAGAUUUUAAGGCAAGGAGUGAAAUGGUCUGAGCAGUGCAGUGAAGGUGACCCCAU
RNAcentral lists this long non-coding RNA (1636 nucleotides) under Macaca fascicularis (crab-eating macaque). RNAcentral describes it as "lncRNA (ENSMFAG00000061740.1)". The record is from RNAcentral. Lineage: Eukaryota; Metazoa; Chordata; Mammalia; Primates; Cercopithecidae.